GUCAGUGUGGCAUAGUGGUUUGAGUGCUUGACUACAAGUCUUGAGACCAGGGUUCAAUUCCAAGCUCUGCUG
Phrynosoma platyrhinos (Desert horned lizard) is the source of this 72-nucleotide non-coding RNA. NCBI's taxonomy places the organism in Eukaryota, Metazoa, Chordata, Lepidosauria, Squamata, Phrynosomatidae. The record is from the annotation of a GenBank genome assembly.